Molecule: ribosomal RNA, 253 nt
Filed under: uncultured bacterium
Lineage: Bacteria
Description: partial 16S ribosomal RNA
Rfam family: Bacterial small subunit ribosomal RNA
Source: RNAcentral
UACGGAGGAGGCAAGCGUUAUCCGGAAUUAUUGGGCGUAAAGCGUCCGCAGGUGGCGAUUCAAGUCUGCGGUUAAAGACUGGGGCUUAACCCUGGAAAGGCCGUGGAAACUGAAACGCUAGAGUGCAGAAGGGGCAAUCGGAAUUCUUGGUGUAGCGGUGAAAUGCGUAGAUAUCAAGAGGAACACCUGAGGUGAAGACGGGUUGCUGGGCUGACACUGACGCUGAGGCGCGAAAGCCAGGGGAGCAAACGGG